Molecule: long non-coding RNA, 4205 nt
Filed under: Panax ginseng (ginseng)
Lineage: Eukaryota; Viridiplantae; Streptophyta; Magnoliopsida; Apiales; Araliaceae
Description: long non-coding RNA (PGIN_LNC003015)
Source: RNAcentral
UCAAUUUUAAAUUUUUUAUUCUCAGAAACAACACAAAAGAAAACUUCAAUUUUGUAUUCUUUUUUUUUCUGUUCUAAUUUAAGUUUUCUAUUCUUUUCUUUUCUGUUUAAAACUCAGAAACAGAGAGGCGAGAGAUUAGUUUAUUCUACCAAAAAAAAACAUUUGCAACUAAUCAUAUUAAAUAGGUUUCCAUCUAAACCACACAAGUCCAGUCAAGCACAGUAGCACAAAUUACAGUCUGUUAAUAUCCAUCGGAGUCAUCAGAUCUGAUUUUGGUAAAAUAUUAAUGGUAAAAGAUUCAAACAAAUGUAUUUUGGAUAAUAGAUGAAGAAACAUAUACAUCAGUAAUCAUAAAUAUAUAUGCUUUUAAUCCCAUAAUGAAAUAAGAUAUCUCCAAUUGCUCCAGAGAGAUUAAAAAGAAGAGUACAUUAAUUGUCUAUCAUUUUAUUGCAAAGCUUUCGUAUAUGGUUACAUAAAAAAAUCUAAAUACAUCAAUUAAAUACAUGAACUAUCACUAUCAUUAUGUCCGUUUCGAAGGCUCAUUUAUCAUUUUGUCCAUACAAUAAAAAAGUUUUAAAAGAUUGUCUAUCAUUCUAUCCUGGCUAACUAUCAAAAUUUCAACUUUUGGACAGCUUCGAUGAAUUUUCAACUUCUUGCAAUAUCCACAAGCCGAAAUAUGACGGGUAUCAUCUAUUAGUUUGUCCUUGUUAAGACCACAAACAAGCAUUCUAUACAAUUAAAAUGUUAUGUUUUAUCAUAUAGAAUGAAGAGUCUAAAUGGUCGGAAUAAGACAUAAAUUGAAAAUUCAAUAUAUCAAUUUUUUUAAACAGAGAAAUCACGGCCGAACAUAUCUUAGUAACGCCAAAUAGUUGAUUUGACUGAAAAAUCCACCCAACUUCCGGAUCAUCAUGCAGAAUAUCAAUUUGGUAAGACCCAGAUUUAAGUUUCUUUGAAUACAAAUUGAGGUUUAGCAGAUCCCUUAAAACAGCAGUAAUAUAAGACCGAUGCAAAAUCAUAUUGAUUCAAAAGAGAAUCACGGAUGUACCUUUGGGCAGCCCCAACAAUAUGAGAACCUUAUUCAGAUCUUUUUGCUGGCAUCACCAUGGAAUCUCUUACCUUCCAGAAAAUAGGAUAGAAGCGUGCAGAGAUGAGGAAGAGAGAAGAAAGGUCUAGAGGCGGCUAUUGUAGGCAGGCUGACUCUUAUCUUUAUAUAGGUAUUAGAUUUGGUUCACGCUUUUUGCCUUUCUUAGCAAACCCUGAUUUUCAUAUUAUUUUUGAAUAUUAUGUUACUAAAUUGCAAAUCUAGCUCUUGUAUUUGUUAUGUUUUUGUAAAAGUGUUCCUUAAACUUUUUUUUUAGCAUAAGUCUCCUCAUGGAUAUUUAGUUGUACAAAAUUGUUCCUCCAACCCUUUUUGUCAAUAAAAAGUGAAUUUUAUCAAAUUAAAUUUAAUAUAAAGUGCUAACAUAUUAUUCAUGUCUAAAGUAAGGUUAUUAUAGUCAUUAUGGUAAUUAGACCUAUUUGAGAGUAACAAAAUUCGCAUUUACGAGCGAGAAAGAACAAAUGUGAGCUAAGAGGUAUCAAAUUAAGAUUCAAAUUCAUCUUAAUUAAACCUGAGUUUUAAAUUAGGGCUAAAAUUUAUCUCAACUAAAUCGUAUUUUGUGAAAUUAAAGUUACAAGUAGUCGUUAGAGUUUAAAUUAGUGUUGUAAAUGGAACCAAUAAUUUGAUUGUUGCCUUAGGAACAUGAUGACACGCCUGUACACUAUAAUAACCUUAAUUUAUGCAACGGAAUAAUACGCCAGCAUUUUUUUCUCAAAUUCAAUUAAUAGAAAUUACUUUAUUAUCAACGAAAAUGGAUGGAAGAACAGUUUUGUAUAACUAAUGUAUCUAUGAGGGAGACUUGUGCUAAAAAAUAAAUUUAAGAAUCUCGUAAAAACAUGACAAAUUGAAGGGAUAGAUUUGCAAUUUAGUCUAUAUUAACAUGUACUCCCUCUGUCCCGAAUUAUCUGCUGUUUUAGCAAAAAAAAAAUUAUCCCACAAUAUCUGCUUUUUUAAUAUUCCAAUGCAUUUUUUCCCUUUGUUUUCCAAAUUUGCCCCUUUACCCUAAUUGUUGAUAGUCAUUACUCUCAUUCAUGCCUCUCCACUUUUUUAAACAUCAUCUUCAUAUUUCUACCAAUAAGGAUUCACGCCUCUUUUUUCCCCAAUUCACUUCCACUCAUACUUUCUCUCUCUGCAAACUCUUUUGGGUAUUGGAGCCGCUGCUUUCUCUCUAUCUCUCUUCAAUUAAUCAUUGUUUCUCUUCAAGCUAGAUCCUUUUUAUAUUCUCACCAAUUGUUUUGUGGGAUUUUGGUGGAAAACAAAAAAGUCAGCACACAGGGUAUUUUAGUAUUUUUAUCAUACAUAUUGGUAUCUGUGUGGAACUCUAGAACAACAGAUAAUUCGGGACGGAUGGAGUAUAUGUUUUAUACUCCAUUUAUUGUCACAUUUUAAUUCUUCUAGUCAAUUAUGAUUAUGAGGACACAUUAGGACUCUCACAUUUAUUUUACAAAAUUUAUUUUAUUUAUUAUCUAAUGGUAAAAUAUUCAAACAAAUGUAUUUUGGAUAGACCAAAUAACCAAACUAAGCCAGCCAGCAACUUCUCGAUUGUUUUCAUUGUUUCUUCUGGGCAAAACUAACCUGAAUUACCCAGAUCACUUCAACUUCCACAUGACUCUAUCUGGACCUACAACCAAUUCAACUGCAGAGAACAUAUAUAAAUGAGAAAGAAUACAUACCAUAUAUGUUAAAAGUAUACAAUAAGAGGCCCGGUUUGUCUCUGAUCAACUCAAAGCUCAAAGCUAACCAAGUCGAGCUUCGUAUGGACUGACUGAGCUCAGUUUGAACCCAAUGACAACCUUAACUAGCCAUGUAUAUAUGUUCAAUAACAUUAUCCCCCGACUCAAAUAUAGCCCCAACAUAAAAUUUUAAUUUUAACUUUAAUUACACGUUAAUGUUAGCUUAGUUGCAUUUUGUAUCAGGGUUGGGCUAGUUAAUUAGACUAGAAACUGGUCCUAUAAAUGAGCAGGUUGAUCAUGGUUUUCGGAAGUGGUACAAAACUGAUUUGCACCAUUUGACCACCGGUCAGACGGGUGAUUUAACUAUAAAAAAUGGUAAAACAGACUUAGUAUACCGUCUUUAUUUUUAAUUAAUUUUCAACGCUUGGCUUCAGUCACAAUGUUAACCAAAAUUAUAUUAAAAUCAUAUUAAUAUAUACUUAAAUAAUGUUUUGCAAAAUUAUAUUUUAGUUCAGCAAGAAGAGAUGUUUUAAAAUCCUACUAAUUACUCAUAAUAUUUUUUAUGUAUUUAUGAUGUCACCCUUUUGAUAGCGGUUAAACCGGUGAUUGAAACAAGUGACCGUCCCACCCACUAUCUUUUCUGAUUUGAUGAACAGUCUAGUUCUAUAAAAACAUUAAACUAAAGUACAUCACAAAGACAACCGGACUCGAUUAGUAUGAAGUUGCAAACCCAAGACCGUCGGUCAGUUGAAACCUGUCUUGCUGACACGUCAGUACCAGUUGAAUUAACGGGUGAGAUUCAAAAGUUCUGCACGGCGUCGUUUGGCGAAGAAAAUUCUGAUAAAUCGGAUGUAGCGAUCAAAUACAAUAAGAAGUAAUCGGUACUAAAACAAAGAUUGACGUCUGGCGUAAUUGAUUGAUGCCUGACCGCUAUAUAGCAGAGGCGGCGACCGAAGAUUGAGUGGAGAUUUGGCGCCAAUUGCUCCUUCUCCUCCUUAUAUAUAGCAUCUAUCUGUUUCUUUCAUCUCCACCCAACUGGUUCUUCUUCUUAGUAAUAGCAUACUCUUCAAUAUGUCUCAACAACCUAGUUUUAAUCAAAGUUAUUCCACCUCUAAUUGAACAUUACACUCAACUCAACGUACGCAACCUGCACGUUCCACCCAAUCCAGUGCUUCCAAUCAUCCCAAAUACUGCUAUUGUGGAAAAUUAGCUCAAUUGAAGACCGCUUGGAUUGUACGAAAUUUGGGGUGCCAAUUUUAUGGAUGUGUUUAUUGGAGCCCGCUAUCUGUAAGAAUUUUUUUUAUUCCUCUAUGAAUACUUAAUACGUUCUUAUAAUCUAUUUAUUAGUAAAUAAAAAUCUGAUUUUGUAGAUGGGACUUACUUGUGGGCUUUUCGAGUGGAUUGAUCCUAUGUAAGAAGGGGAAAGAAAUUAU